UAGCAGGGAAAUUAUACCAAAUGUCUUUGACC
RNAcentral lists this non-coding RNA (32 nucleotides) under Mus musculus (house mouse). Lineage: Eukaryota; Metazoa; Chordata; Mammalia; Rodentia; Muridae. The record is from RNAcentral.